UUUGUGAGAUGGUCAUGGCAUUAAAAUUUGCUGUAAAGGGUUGACAAGUUUUCGUUGAGGCUAAUAUGGCCCCACAGGGAUUGUCAUGGGUACAGAGGCCCAAGUACUGAAUACAGAAGCAGAACUCCCAGCCCGGACGGAAGCAGGAGAAAGGGGGAGAAUGUGGCUAGUAAAAUGCUUGUAUUAAAGCUCAUGGGUAGAACUCCUUGACUCUGGCCCUAUCCAGGCUACUACUGUGACUCUUUUUCCCUUCCUGGUCAGUGUGACAGGUGUUAACAGGAAGACGUGCAAAGUGGGGACUGCUAGUAAGUUCAGGUGAGGGCUUUAGCGUUUUUAAACAUUUUAGGUUAUUUAAUGUUUAAAUUACAUUUUUAAAUGUUUUUAAAAUGUAAUGUUUUAAACCCACUGCAAGUCUUCUCUGUUGCUUGGAGUUCCUUUUCUGUCCUGGUCUUGGUGGGGAAAGCUUCAAGGGAACCUCAAAGGGGAACAGGAAGCUGAAGAGCAGAAAACAAACAAACGCUUGGCGCUUGGCGCACCAGGCAGGACUCUGGUGAGGAAGGUUGGGGGAGAAUCAUCUUAGAGUUUCUUGAGCUCCGUGGCUGUUGUGUCACACCGCCUUGUCCCUGGCACCCUGAUGAUGAACUGAAGCCUUUCCACAGAAUGUUCUGGACAACCCCACCCCCACAGUCACCAGGUCCUGUGCUGCAAACCCUUUGCCAUCUAUCUUUUAUCACCCCUCCAGAAAAUUAUUUAUUAACUGCUUGGCUGUACUUUCUGAAUUAAAUAAAAAC
RNAcentral lists this long non-coding RNA (791 nucleotides) under Zalophus californianus (California sea lion). RNAcentral's name for it is "lncRNA (ENSZCAG00015002836.1)". Lineage: Eukaryota; Metazoa; Chordata; Mammalia; Carnivora; Otariidae. The record is from RNAcentral.